Molecule: ribosomal RNA, 457 nt
Filed under: uncultured bacterium
Lineage: Bacteria
Description: bacterial SSU rRNA
Rfam family: Bacterial small subunit ribosomal RNA
Source: RNAcentral
UACGGAAGGCAGCAGUGGGGAAUAUUGCACAAUGGGCGCAAGCCUGAUGCAGCCAUGCCGCGUGUAUGAAGAAGGCCUUCGGGUUGUAAAGUACUUUCAGUCGUGAGGAAGGUGUUAAGGUUAAUAACCUUAGCAAUUGACGUUAGCGACAGAAGAAGCACCGGCUAACUCCGUGCCAGCAGCCGCGGUAAUACGGAGGGUGCGAGCGUUAAUCGGAAUUACUGGGCGUAAAGGGCACGCAGGCGGCUAAUUAAGUUGGAUGUGAAAUCCCCGGGCUUAACCUGGGAAUGGCAUUCAAGACUGGUUAGCUAGAGUCUUGUAGAGGGGGUUAGAAUUCCAUGUGUAGCGGUGAAAUGCGUAGAGAUGUGGAGGAAUACCGGUGGCGAAGGCGGCCCCUGGGACAAAGGCUGACGCUCAUGUGCGAAAGCGUGGGGAGCAAACAGGGAUUAGAUACCCG